This 78-nucleotide non-coding RNA is filed under the name Paracoccaceae bacterium. Lineage: Bacteria; Pseudomonadati; Pseudomonadota; Alphaproteobacteria; Rhodobacterales; Paracoccaceae. The record is from RNAcentral.
UCCCCACACCGUGGCGCUUUGUGACCGGAUUGCGGGCCACGUUAAACAAACCGCUAAAAGGGUGAGGGACGCGAGCCC